CGAUUGCGAUUUGAUUGGGAUUCUGUUUGGGAUUCUGAUUGCGAUUAAGAUUGGGUUUUCAAUUGAAUUCCCCCUGUGCAAAGCGACGGAAGAAAUCAUUCCCUUUCGCGCAUUUUCUCAUGUUUCUUUUUCCCUCUUAAGGCAAAUUUUUCGAGCAGCCCCUCGAGCUACCCGUCGAAGACUCUGCUUCCUACCCCUCGCCUGAGCGCGCUGUGACAGGUAUCGAUGUGUUCGAUCGAUGUGGCCAAUAGCUGUCAGAAGUCUUGCGUUGUCAUUCUUUGAGUAGUGCUAUCUCUUUCUCGUGUGUAGCCCAAUUUUAAGACCGGAAUUGGAAUUGGUACCGAUAGAAAAUGUAAACAAACGUCAACACAAAUUCAACCAGUGCUCAUCUCUCCGGUGAAAAGUUUACCGAUAGAAAGCGUGAAAAUGGCCUCGAAUCAGGACAAGAAAAGUGGCUUGAUGUCCUACGCUAUUGCCCGGCUCUAAAAGCAGCGUCUGGAGGAAGUGGAAAGGAAACUCCUUCUUGCCCAGCAGCCAGAACCUCCGACUGUUGAUAACCGAGCGCGUGAUGCUGUGCCAGUGCAGUUUGAAGAUGUUCCGAUGCCCAUGGAAGUGAUCGACGAUGCUGCUCCGCUUAGCGAAAGCGAGGAGGAAGGUACGACCGACGCAAGCAGCGGCGAGGAUACUAACGUGUAGGAUAUCCAGGUCGAGGUGGAAAUGCCAGACCAUCCGUAAGGAGAUCUUUCGUGCGAGGAUGGCUUAAGGAUGUGGGCCCUGCAAACUGGACAAACUCAUCGCUGUUUGAACCUUUUGCUGGGCCAUUUGCGACUUCACUUCCCCCAGACUAAACUGCCCCGAGAUGCACGGACGUUGAUGAACACCCCCGCGUCCGGAACACCGGAGACAGCCCUCACACCAAUCGCAGGGGGGCAGCUGUGGUACCAGGGUGUGGAAAAAUGCCUGCUAACAUA
This is a long non-coding RNA of Anopheles gambiae (African malaria mosquito), 971 nucleotides long. RefSeq lists it as uncharacterized. Lineage: Eukaryota; Metazoa; Arthropoda; Insecta; Diptera; Culicidae. The transcript is spliced from 3 exons. The record is from RefSeq and is a predicted model, not a curated record.